UAAGGUGACCAAUUCAUCCUAGCUUUCCUGGGACUGUCUUGGUUUUAAAAUUGAAAGUCCAUGUCUUAAGAGCACCCUUGGUCCCAUGCAAACUAGGAUGGUUGGUCACUACUUCUGC
Molecule: microRNA precursor, 118 nt
Filed under: Marmota monax (woodchuck)
Lineage: Eukaryota; Metazoa; Chordata; Mammalia; Rodentia; Sciuridae
Source: RNAcentral